Molecule: ribosomal RNA, 484 nt
Filed under: uncultured bacterium
Lineage: Bacteria
Description: partial 16S ribosomal RNA
Rfam family: Bacterial small subunit ribosomal RNA
Source: RNAcentral
AUUGAACGCUGGCGGCAUGCUUUACACAUGCAAGUCGAACGGCAGCGCGGGCUUCGGCCUGGCGGCGAGUGGCGAACGGGUGAGUAAUACAUCGGAACGUGCCCAGUAGUGGGGGAUAGCUCGGCGAAAGCCGGAUUAAUACCGCAUACGACCUGAGGGUGAAAGCGGGGGAUCUUCGGACCUCGCGCUAUUGGAGCGGCCGAUGGCAGAUUAGCUAGUUGGUGGGGUAAAGGCCUACCAAGGCGACGAUCUGUAGCUGGUCUGAGAGGACGACCAGCCACACUGGGACUGAGACACGGCCCAGACUCCUACGGGAGGCAGCAGUGGGGAAUUUUGGACAAUGGGCAAAAGCCUGAUCCAGCAAUGCCGCGUGUGUGAUGAAGGCCUUCGGGUUGUAAAGCACUUUUGGCGGGAACGAAAAGGACUGUGCCAAUACCACGGUUCGAUGACGGUACCCGCAGAAUAAGCACCGGCUAACUACGUG